This 218-nucleotide long non-coding RNA is filed under the name Physcomitrium patens. RNAcentral describes it as "long non-coding RNA (PPAT_LNC001239)". Lineage: Eukaryota; Viridiplantae; Streptophyta; Bryopsida; Funariales; Funariaceae. The record is from RNAcentral.
CACAAAAGACUUGCAAAACAAAAAAAUGGAAACUUUUAGAUCAAUGUAUUACUUUAAGUCUUUUAUAGUGCUCUAAUAUUAUUAUUAAUACAACCAAGAUUCAAUAAUAACAAUAACAACUUCAACAACGAUUUGUCACGGAUACAGAAAUACAGACUCGAGAUCUAACAAGAAGUUCAAGAAGAACUGGCAAGAACUAGAUUAAUCAAAUGAAUACA